This 750-nucleotide long non-coding RNA is filed under the name Mytilus galloprovincialis (Mediterranean mussel). Lineage: Eukaryota; Metazoa; Mollusca; Bivalvia; Mytilida; Mytilidae. The record is from RNAcentral.
AAAAAACAUUUGGUGGUGAACUACGAUGCGUCGUAGUGGUAAGCAGUUCUUGUUCCAUUAUUGGCAUGAACUGAAUCAAAUCAAAAGAUAUAAUGUAAUGAUACCCUGGCAAAUAAUCCCCUGAAUGUCAAGGAAUUUUUGUUUGAAUUUGGUAUAUAGUUAUACAAUAUUACAUAUAGAUCACCUUAUCAAAUUGCGGGGUCGGAAAGCGACGAGUACAACCUAGCUGGUAACUUAGUGCAUUGUAUAUAAUAGUUAUUAAAGGUACCAGGAUUAUAAUUUAGUACGCCAGACGCGCGUUUCGUCUACAUAAGACUCAUCAGUGACGCUCAUAUCAAAAUAUUUAAAUACAAUCAUAUUAAAAAUUCGAAGCUUCAUGUACUCUUUAGCUGCGAUAAACAGACUUGAAUGGCACUUCGGACAAAUAUGACGUUUGAAUGGUUUUACAUGAGUCAUUGUUGGGGCCACUUAUUAGACAAUGAAACACAACUAUCAGCCGUCCGAUUCUAGAUUCCAUUUACUAUAUUUCAUUUAGACACACGGUCAAACAUAAAUACACACAUAGCAUAUGUUACCAUAUCAAUUCUUAGAUGAUAGUACAAUGGUAUUAAGGAGAUAAUAUAUAACAACGUUUUUCAAGAAUUUUAAGAAUUUGCAGAUUGUUUAAGGAGUAGGGGUAAUGAGUGAAACGUAUUGAAGAAGACAUUGAAUUUGUAAUGCAUAUGUACAUGUAUCUGCUUCUUCUCCCGG